Molecule: ribosomal RNA, 433 nt
Filed under: Firmicutes bacterium enrichment culture clone J
Lineage: Bacteria; Bacillati; Bacillota
Description: bacterial SSU rRNA
Rfam family: Bacterial small subunit ribosomal RNA
Source: RNAcentral
CUGGCCUUGACAUCCUGCGAACUUUCUAGAGAUAGAUUGGUGCCUUCGGGAACGCAGUGACAGGUGCUGCAUGGCCGUCGUCAGCUCGUGUCGUGAGAUGUUGGGUUAAGUCCCGCAACGAGCGCAACCCUUGUCUUUAGUUGCCAGCACGUAAAGGUGGGAACUCUAGAGAGACUGCCGGUGACAAACCGGAGGAAGGUGGGGAUGACGUCAAAUCAUCAUGCCCCUUAUGUUCUGGGCUACACACGUGCUACAAUGGCUGGUACAACGGGAGGCGAAGGAGUAAUCUGGAGCGAACCCCAAAAAGCCAGUCCCAGUUCGGACUGUGGGCUGCAACUCGCCCACAUGAAGUUGGAGUUGCUAGUAAUCGCGAAUCAGAAUGUCGCGGUGAAUGCGUUCCCGGGUCUUGUACACACCGAAUCACUAGUGAAUU